RNAcentral lists this ribosomal RNA (503 nucleotides) under uncultured bacterium. RNAcentral describes it as "partial 16S ribosomal RNA". It matches the Rfam family "Bacterial small subunit ribosomal RNA", at positions 30 to 523 of the family's 1533-position model. The record is from RNAcentral.
AUUGAACGCUGGCGGCAGGCUUAACACAUGCAAGUCGAGCGGGGUGAUGGUGCUUGCACUAUCACUUAGCGGCGGACGGGUGAGUAAUGCUUAGGAAUCUGCCUAUUAGUGGGGGACAACAUCUCGAAAGGGAUGCUAAUACCGCAUACGUCCUACGGGAGAAAGCAGGGGAUCACUUGUGACCUUGCGCUAAUAGAUGAGCCUAAGUCGGAUUAGCUAGGUGGUGGGGUAAAGGUCUACCAAGGCGACGAUCUGUAGCGGGUCUGAGAGGAUGAACCGCCACACUGGGACUGAGACACGGCCCAGACACCUACGGGAGGCAGCAGUGGGGAAUAUUGGACAAUGGGGGGAACCCUGAUCCAGCCAUGCCGCGUGUGUGAAGAAGGCCUUAUGGUUGUAAAGCACUUUAAGCGAGGAGGAGGCUCUUUUGGUUAAUACCCAAGAUGAGUGGACGUUACUCGCAGAAUAAGCACCGGCUAACUCUGUGCCAGCCGCCGCAGUAA